AUACAUGCAGUCGAGCGGACAGAAGGGAGCUUGCUCCCGGAUGUUAGCGGCGGACGGGUGAGUAACACGUGGGUAACCUGCCUGUAAGACUGGGAUAACUCCGGGAAACCGGAGCUAAUACCGGAUAGUUCCUUGAACCGCAUGGUUCAAGGAUGAAAGACGGUUUCGGCUGUCACUUACAGAUGGACCCGCGGCGCAUUAGCUAGUUGGUGGGGUAAUGGCUCACCAAGGCGACGAUGCGUAGCCGACCUGAGAGGGUGAUCGGCCACACUGGGACUGAGACACGGCCCAGACUCCUACGGGAGGCAGCAGUAGGGAAUCUUCCGCAAUGGACGAAAGUCUGACGGAGCAACGCCGCGUGAGUGAUGAAGGUUUUCGGAUCGUAAAGCUCUGUUGUUAGGGAAGAACAAGUGCGAGAGUAACUGCUCGCACCUUGACGGUACCUAACCAGAAAGCCACGGCUAACUACGUGCCAGCAGCCGCGGUAAUACGUAGGUGGCAAGCGUUGUCCGGAAUUAUUGGGCGUAAAGGGCUCGCAGGCGGUUUCUUAAGUCUGAUGUGAAAGCCCCCGGCUCAACCGGGGAGGGUCAUUGGAAACUGGGAAACUUGAGUGCAGAAGAGGAGAGUGGAAUUCCACGUGUAGCGGUGAAAUGCGUAGAGAUGUGGAGGAACACCAGUGGCGAAGGCGACUCUCUGGUCUGUAACUGACGCUGAGGAGCGAAAGCGUGGGGAGCGAACAGGAUUAGAUACCCUGGUAGUCCACGCCGUAAACGAUGAGUGCUAAGUGUUAGGGGGUUUCCGCCCCUUAGUGCUGCAGCUAACGCAUUAAGCACUCCGCCUGGGGAGUACGGUCGCAAGACUGAAACUCAAAGGAAUUGACGGGGGCCCGCACAAGCGGUGGAGCAUGUGGUUUAAUUCGAAGCAACGCGAAGAACCUUACCAGGUCUUGACAUCCUCUGACAACCCUAGAGAUAGGGCUUUCCCUUCGGGGACAGAGUGACAGGUGGUGCAUGGUUGUCGUCAGCUCGUGUCGUGAGAUGUUGGGUUAAGUCCCGCAACGAGCGCAACCCUUGAUCUUAGUUGCCAGCAUUCAGUUGGGCACUCUAAGGUGACUGCCGGUGACAAACCGGAGGAAGGUGGGGAUGACGUCAAAUCAUCAUGCCCCUUAUGACCUGGGCUACACACGUGCUACAAUGGACAGAACAAAGGGCUGCAAGACCGCAAGGUUUAGCCAAUCCCAUAAAUCUGUUCUCAGUUCGGAUCGCAGUCUGCAACUCGACUGCGUGAAGCUGGAAUCGCUAGUAAUCGCGGAUCAGCAUGCCGCGGUGAAUACGUUCCCGGGCCUUGUACACACCGCCCGUCGCACCACGAGAGUUUGCAACACCCGAAGUCGGUGAGGUAACCUUUAGGAGCCAGCCGCCGAAGGUGGG
This 1430-nucleotide ribosomal RNA is filed under the name Bacillus sp. YXA2-9. RNAcentral describes it as "16S ribosomal RNA". It matches the Rfam family "Bacterial small subunit ribosomal RNA". The record is from RNAcentral. Lineage: Bacteria; Bacillati; Bacillota; Bacilli; Caryophanales; Bacillaceae.